UGCGCAGGCGGAAAAGUAAGUCAGUGGUGAAAUCUCUCGGCUCAACCGAGAAACUACCAUUGAUACUGCUUAUCUAGAGUUUAGUUGAAGUGGGCGGAAUGUAGCAUGUAGCGGUGAAAUGCAUAGAGAUGCUACAGAACACCGAUUGCGAAGGCAGCUCACUAAGCUAAAACUGACGCUCAGGCACGAAAGCGUGGGGAUCAAACAGGAUUAGAUACCCUGGUAGUCC
Molecule: ribosomal RNA, 229 nt
Filed under: uncultured bacterium
Lineage: Bacteria
Description: partial 16S ribosomal RNA
Rfam family: Bacterial small subunit ribosomal RNA
Source: RNAcentral